This 84-nucleotide transfer RNA is filed under the name Venenivibrio stagnispumantis. It matches the Rfam family "tRNA". From Rfam's summary of the family: Transfer RNA (tRNA) molecules are approximately 80 nucleotides in length. Their secondary structure includes four short double-helical elements and three loops (D, anti-codon, and T loops). Lineage: Bacteria; Pseudomonadati; Aquificota; Aquificia; Aquificales; Hydrogenothermaceae. The record is from Rfam by way of RNAcentral.
GCCGAAGUGGCGGAAUUGGCAGACGCAGGGGACUCAAAAUCCCCCGCUCGCAAGGGCGUGCGGGUUCGACUCCCGCCUUCGGCA